This 1369-nucleotide long non-coding RNA is filed under the name Nicotiana benthamiana. Its description in RNAcentral is "long non-coding RNA (NBEN_LNC035265)". Lineage: Eukaryota; Viridiplantae; Streptophyta; Magnoliopsida; Solanales; Solanaceae. The record is from RNAcentral.
AGCCACCUUUGGACCCUUUUCUCUCGAGUUCUCUAUGAAACUAACCCUUAACCCUAAUCGCCAUCACUCAAAAUUAAUCCUAAACCUUUGAAUUCAUGUCCGAUCUGUGGCGUCCUAUGGCUGUACGAAGCCUCUACUUGUCUCUUAUCCCCUUGGUUAUUCGAUUAUAUGGUUUUUAUGAAAGAACCUCGAAGAGAUCUACUCAAGAUCUCGUUCAAAGCUCUUCAAGGGUUCGUCAAUUGUUUGCGAGUAACUUCUAUUUAAGUUCCAUGGUUCAAAUCUCUGGUUCAAAAACCAGGUUCUCUUUACCCCUCCUUUUUCUCCUCAAAACCCUAAUAUUUGGCCAUGAAUACGUCCUGAUCUUUGUAGAUCUGGAAGGAUUCUGAGUUGUCAAUGACUGUUCUUUAAAGAUGUCUUAUUUAUUUACCGUUAACAAAUUUUAGCACUAUGUUUUGGGUUCUUUGUUUUAAUCUCUGCAUGUUUGAAAUGUUUUUCAAGUUUCUGUGGUUUUUUCUUUAAGUUUCUCUUAUUCCUCUACUACUGACUGAUUUAAAACACAAUAAUACUUCUGGUUUUUGACUUCUAUGACUAGGGUUUCCCGAAAGUUUCUUUCUCCAAAAUGUUCGAUAGUUUUGAGUGUUUAAUCUCCUAUUUCUUGUGUGUUUUAACCGAUUUCAUGAGGUUUGCUUUAACCCUAACUCGUUUAUGCUAAAAGCCUUAAUUUUUUAACAUUAUUGUUUGGAUUCUGAGUUUGUCUAGGUUACUUGUGUACUGACUUUUCCCUGUGCUUUGGUUUUUGUGAUUCUUUCUUCUAAUGUGCCUUUAUUGAUGGUCUUGGUUCGAAUUUUGUAUUGAUUCUAUAUGUCUAUGUUCAUUUUUUUGCUUAUUCAUGGUAAACUUAUACUUUUCUCCUUAAAACAUUGAUUAAUUUGGAUUCUUGAUUUAUCAAUUUAUUUUUUUAAGACCUAUGUGCUAAUUCCUGACUAUUCCCUUUAUUUACAAUAUUGAUUAACUUUCUUACCUUAUUCAAUUAACAGUGAUAUUCAUGGUUCUUUACCGAUCAUUUCCUUAAUUAAACUUCUAUUUAUUUACCCCUAAUUGCUCGUUUGAUUUUCUUUCCUUAAAUAUAUUCUACCUCUACCGUUGGAUAAUUACCUUUUAGUUGAGGGAAAAUUAUACUAAUUGACGUAUAAUUAAUAAUGUAGCUUCCUUAAUUGCAGAAAGAUUGAUUCCCUUUACCUUAUUUUUAUUUCUCUUAAUUUCUAUAUAUACUCUCCUUUACUCCUCACUUCAGGACACGAACAUUAGUUUAUCUAUACUCUCAACUCUCAAAAGCUCUCUAUUCUCUUCUGUUACUUGUAAUUAUCAC